This 28-nucleotide non-coding RNA is filed under the name Mus musculus (house mouse). Lineage: Eukaryota; Metazoa; Chordata; Mammalia; Rodentia; Muridae. The record is from RNAcentral.
UAGAUUCUUUAGGAGUAUCUCUUGGUGU